AGAGAGAGAGAGAGAGUAAAUUAUCUGGAAAAUAUAAACUUACCUUGCAUUAACGAAAAUGUUUUGCUUGAUUUUGAUGAAAACAUGGUCACAUUAGCAACUUUUAGAAAAUAUUUUCCAUGAAAAAAAUGUGAACCAAACACCCAAAAAGUAGGAACUUGAGUAUAAAAAAUGAUAUUUUCCAUGGAAAAUAAAGCCAAUCAAAUACACCCUUGGUUAUUUGAAAUAGAUUGGAGGGAAUUGAAAAUGCUGCUGGAGUGGAAACUGCCCACUGUUAGUAUCUCACAGGAUCAGUGUUGAGCAGAAGGUGCCACCAAAAAAAGGUACGAAAGCAUAUCGAUUCAAGUUGAUUUGGCAAGAUAGUUUCCACAAAUGGUGCUCGGUGACUCCUGAAAGAUUGGCCAAAUGUAGAAGAGAACCCUAAUGAAGACACGAGUGUAUGGAGUUUACAUUUAAGGAAACUUAUUUUUAAAUUUUGAAUGCCCUUGAUGUUCAUUGACUAUCAUAUAUAUUUUGUUUCAUUGACUUUAUAUGUGCAGAUCAUUUAGUACUUGCAUCAGCAUCUAUUACAAAAUUUCUUCCAUUCAUGUUCA
Long non-coding RNA from Olea europaea var. sylvestris, 593 nucleotides. RefSeq lists it as uncharacterized. The transcript has 2 exons. The record is from RefSeq and is a predicted model, not a curated record. NCBI's taxonomy places the organism in Eukaryota, Viridiplantae, Streptophyta, Magnoliopsida, Lamiales, Oleaceae.